Molecule: ribosomal RNA, 276 nt
Filed under: uncultured delta proteobacterium
Lineage: Bacteria; Deltaproteobacteria
Description: partial 16S ribosomal RNA
Rfam family: Bacterial small subunit ribosomal RNA
Source: RNAcentral
UUAGACAUGCAAGUCGAACGGUAAGGCCCCUUUCGGGGGGUACACGAGUGGCGCACGGGUGAGUAACGCGUGGGUAACCUACCUUUGGGUCUGGGACAACUCCGGGAAACUGGAGCUAAUACCGGAUAAGACCACGAGGUCUUCGGGCUUCGCGGAAAAAGAUGGCCUCUUCUUGAAAGCUAUCGCCCGUCGAUGGGCCCGCGUCCCAUUAGUUUGUUGGUGAGGUAACGGCUCACCAAGGCGACGAUGGGUAGCUGGUCUGAGAGGAUGAUCAGC